Molecule: long non-coding RNA, 728 nt
Organism: Salvia splendens (bonfire salvia)
Lineage: Eukaryota; Viridiplantae; Streptophyta; Magnoliopsida; Lamiales; Lamiaceae
Exons: 3
Source: RefSeq, a predicted model, not a curated record
CACUUUGCAUUGGUUAUACUCACCCCACUAAUCACAUUUUUUCCUUAUUCUUUCUUCGACAAAAUUCAUUCCAGAUUUCCUCCAAAUUGAGAUUAUAAUCACGCGAUUCUCAUCAAUAAUCCAGUAUGGAUGAUUUUCCAAUGAUAUUCAACCCAUUUUCAUCCAAAUCUGCAGCUUAUAUUGGAGAAUUCCACCAUUAAUUUUCGCCAACUUAUUCACGAGAAUCUCAGUUGUCGAUAAUUGGUUCUCGGUUUUUCAAUCCAAAUAUGACGACAUGGCAUGUGAUUCGAUUCUCAAUUUUGAUUUGGAUGUUUUGUCCAGAAGAUUGUUGUAUUAUGUAUUGCAAGUUGCUGGCCACAUAAUGUGUAAUUACAUUAAAUUGCAAUUCAACUAUGAAGGGGAAAAAGUUGUGCAUGCCGUUUGGUGUCCAUGAAGGAGAAGACUGAAGUUUAACAACAAACCAUUGUGUCGGUGUGGAAAAUUUGGAGAACUGUGUCUCCAUGCCUCUAGAAAUGGUGGCAAACAAAGGGUAAAGGAGAUCAAUUAGUUCAUCUCAUAGUACUUCAAUCUUUUAGCCGUAUUACUUUUUACAUAACAAAUUGGAAUGUUAUUCAUUGAAUAUUGCAACGUUACCACGUAGUUUAUGCAGUUGGCAUAUUACUUUAUAUUUUUUGUCUUAUAUAAUUUACGAAACGAUUGCAGAUUUGUUCUCAAAAUAUUGUUUACUA